CCGUACACAAAAGCGCAUGUGCUGUGAGCUCGAUGAGUAGGGCGGGACACGUGGUAUCCUGUCUGAAUAUGGGGGGACCAUCCUCCAAGGCUAAAUACUCCUGACUGACCGAUAGUGAACCAGUACCGUGAGGGAAAGGCGAAAAGAACCCCGGCGAGGGGAGUGAAAAAGAACCUGAAACCGUGUACGUACAAGCAGUGGGAGCACAGGUUUACCUGUGUGACUGCGUACCUUUUGUAUAAUGGGUCAGCGACUUAUAUUCUGUAGCAAGGUUAACCGUAUAGGGGAGCCGGAGGGAAACCGAGUCUUAAUUGGGCGUUAAGUUGCAGGGUAUAGACCCGAAACCCGGUGAUCUAGCCAUGGGCAGGUUGAAGGUUGGGUAACACUAACUGGAGGACCGAACCGACUAAUGUUGAAAAAUUAGCGGAUGACCUGUGGCUGGGGGUGAAAGGCCAAUCAAACCGGGAGAUAGCUGGUUCUCCCCGAAAGCUAUUUAGGUAGCGCCUCGUGAAUUCAUCUCCGGGGGUAGAGCACUGUUUCGGCUAGGGGGCCAUCCCGGCUUACCAACCCGAUGCAAACUGCGAAUACCGGAGAAUGUUAUCACGGGAGACACACGGCGGGUGCUAACGUCCGUCGUGAAGAGGGAAACAACCCAGACCGCCAGCUAAGGUCCCAAAGUCAUGGUUAAGUGGGAAACGAUGUGGGAAGGCCCAGACAGCCAGGAUGUUGGCUUAGAAGCAGCCAUCAUUUAAAGAAAGCGUAAUAGCUCACUGGUCGAGUCGGCCUGCGCGGAAGAUGUAACGGGGCUAAACCAUGCACCGAAGCUGCGGCAGCGAACGUAUCACCCAAGACAACUUUACGGAGUUGACGAUUGACGGAGCGAAGCGACGUCAAAGCGUUCAUUAAAGUCGAGUUGGCUUAGGGAUACGUUCGUUGGGUAGGGGAGCGUUCUGUAAGCCUGUGAAGGUGUGUCGUGAGGCAUGCUGGAGGUAUCAGAAGUGCGAAUGCUGACAUAAGUAACGAUAAAGCGGGUGAAAAGCCCGCUCGCCGGAAGACCAAGGGUUCCUGUCCAACGUUAAUCGGGGCAGGGUGAGUCGACCCCUAAGGCGAGGCCGAAAGGCGUAGUCGAUGGGAAACGGGUUAAUAUUCCCGUACUUGGUGUUACUGCGAAGGGGGGACGGAGAAGGCUAUGUUGGCCGGGCGACGGUUGUCCCGGUUUAAGCGUGUAGGUGUGUGUUCCAGGUAAAUCCGGUU
Molecule: ribosomal RNA, 1254 nt
Filed under: Salmonella enterica subsp. enterica
Lineage: Bacteria; Pseudomonadati; Pseudomonadota; Gammaproteobacteria; Enterobacterales; Enterobacteriaceae
Also listed under: 2 other names
Description: partial 23S ribosomal RNA
Rfam family: Bacterial large subunit ribosomal RNA
Source: RNAcentral